UCAGUUUCCUCCUUCUCUUCUUCGGUUCUCUUUUUCGGUAUGUUCUCCUCUGUAACUCCGCUUCAACCAAAUCUGGUAACCAAAUUUCGAAAUCAAAGUCUAAUAAACACGAACUAUGAAUACGUAAAGCAGAGAUCACAUACAUGGCGUUGGAUCUGAUCCUUGGGCGUUAUUAAUAUCUUAAACUCAAAGAUUGAAGCAAGAUCUAUGAUUUCACCAUGUAAUAAAAAGUAUAAAUAUCCUCAACAAAUCAAAGCAUCGACAUCAAGGAAUUGGUAUUUUCUGAUGUUAUAGUUUCUUGUGAGAAAAUUUGGGAGAAAAUUUCUUGUGGCCGAGGAAGAUGAUUCAUAAGAUAAAUUCAAAUUGAAACACAAGAAGGUGAUGAGCCGGGAAGAUUUUGGGUUAACUAACUUAUGUAGAUGAAGCCAUUAAUCAUUGCCUCCUGGAUGCAAAUACAGAUAUUAUUGAUGAAACGCAUACAGCUGGAAGACCUAACCAAUACUGACAGAUGAGGCCUUGUAUUUGUAUUGUAUUUAAUAUUUUAUGCAUCACCUGCAGGGUAUUACUUUUGUCUAUCUUCCUAGCUGUUGUAACGGCAUUUGCAGAUGGAACUCUAGUCAAGUGUACUCUAGUGUUACUAACCUACUUGCAGGUAUGCAUCGAGUAUUUCAUUGUCCGGAAUGUAGACUUCUCAUUCAGUUAAGGAAAUACAUGUUAUUCUUUUCCAGAAAAUCCCGGUUAAGCUUUGUCCAUGGAGUCCAUGUGAUACAACUGCAGUUUAUGCGUCUAAGCCGACUUGUUAGUCCGAAUCUACUGCUGGUGCUGUUAAGAAGCUGUACAAACAUUGCUCCUUAGAACUGUGCUAUUUGAUAAAAUUAUCCCUCUUUUGGCUUGCCUUUUUCUGUUUUGCAAUGGAUUUAAGGCUAAUAAUUUCAUUAUGAGUUAGUAGUUCCUUAAGUUUCCCAGUAAUUGUUCGUUUCAGUUCACCUAAGGAUAAUGCUAUUGGUGUGGUUAAUUUGAUCGCCUAAAGCGUAUGCAAUCAUGCCUUGUCGUGAUUAGCUUACGUAUAGAUUGCUUCAAAAGUUUGGUCCUGUGUUUGGUCUGCAAAGCAGGGUCAAUAUUGUGUACAAUUAUCCCAAGGAUUAUUAUGUUGCAAUGUUUUAGUUAGUAUGUGAACAGAUUGUUGUGUGUGACAGAUACUUAGAUUAGCUUCCAUGCAAUCUUUUAUUAGUAAUCACUUACAAAAUCUGAGCAUCCAUAAAAAUUAUUGAAAGAUUGAGAUGUACUAUCUGAUGACCCCUCCCAACUAUUUCCCUAAGUGUCUAUUUUUUAUAGUCAAGUGCUUCAGUUGAACAAGGUAGCCUUUCUAACAGCAAUAUCUCAUGUGUGCUGCAGAUUCUUGUCAGUGUCAUUGUUGUGAUGGCAUUGAAACUUUUUGGGUAGUGGAAACAAGUGGAUUGUGGCAAUUCCCCCCCUGUAAUGAUGCAGUUAAGGCUACUGAUUUUUUUGGUUGGGGCAACGGCAACCACUAACGAUAAGAUUCCUGACUGAUUCAAAUCCAGUUUGUGUUUCUCUCAUCUCUUUUAGUUUUAGAUAUGGUGAUCAAUUCCUCGUCUCUCCGACAAGGAAAUAAACAAGGUAUAAGAAGAACUGUGAAACAUCAUUUCUAGUUCUUUUUUUAUUUUCCAUUAUUCAAAUUGCGGAGAAUCAGUGCUCGUUUGCGGAGUCUUAAAUUUCAGAAAUGCCGUGAUCGCCAUGAGAAUCUUAAGGCCUCAAGGGCGUACACGUUCAAGUUCAAGGGAUGACAAAGGCUUCUAGGGCAUACGUUGCCAGUUUCACAUGACGAAAAAAAUCAAUCUAUACAUAGAGAAAACGAAACAAAUUAAGGAAGCCCAAUGCAAGUUCCAGGCACAAUGCACUCGGUUAAAUAUUGGUUCUUGGUCCAGCUGAUUCUCCAACCAUUGAAGAUCCAGAAGCUGCUUAAUGCUUAGUUUUAUAUUACUCCUUGUUUCUAGUUAAAGUUACAUGAGUAUUAGUUUUCUUCGGUAUUGUAGAAGUGUUGUCUUUUAAAUACUCCCUCCAUUCCAUUUUAGAUUUUAGAUGAUGUUUUAGGGCUAUUUUCUUGUUCCAUAAUACUUGAAAGUUUUCAUAUAUUCCCACAAAACUACCAAUAAUACCCUAACACCUUGUCUUGGAACUAUAAGUUUAUUUUAAAAUGCACUAAUAACAAUUAAUGUUUGAAGACUUUUCUUA
Molecule: long non-coding RNA, 2253 nt
Organism: Papaver somniferum (opium poppy)
Lineage: Eukaryota; Viridiplantae; Streptophyta; Magnoliopsida; Ranunculales; Papaveraceae
Exons: 5
Source: RefSeq, a predicted model, not a curated record